This 468-nucleotide ribosomal RNA is filed under the name uncultured bacterium. RNAcentral describes it as "partial 16S ribosomal RNA". It matches the Rfam family "Bacterial small subunit ribosomal RNA", at positions 29 to 507 of the family's 1533-position model. The record is from RNAcentral.
ACGAACGCUGGCGGCGUGCUUAACACAUGCAAGUCGAACGGAAAGGCCCUGCUUGCAGGGUGCUCGAGUGGCGAACGGGUGAGUAACACGUGGGUGAUCUGCCCCUUACUUUGGGAUAAGCCUGGGAAACUGGGUCUAAUACUGGCUAGGACCAUGCUGUAGGUGGUGUGGUGGAAAGAUUAGUUUCGGUAAGGGAUGAGCUCGCGGCCUAUCAGCUUGUUGGUGGGGUAAUGGCCUACUAAGGCGUCGACGGGUAGCCGGCCUGGGAGGGUGGACGGCCACAUUGUGACUGAGAUACGGCCCAGACGCCUACGGGGGGCAGCAGUGGGGAAUAUUGCACAAUGGGGGCAAGCCUGAUGCAGCGACGCCGCGUGGGGGAUGACGGCCUUCGGGUUGUAAACUCCUUUCAGCCAUGACGAAGCCCUUGUGGUGACGGUAGUGGUAGAAGAAGCACCGGCUAACUACGUG